GUUCCAGGACUCCAGAUGUACCUGUUCUCCUGCCUUUCCCCUAUGGUAAUAAAAUUUCCUAUUAAAUCUCAAGCCUAGCUGUGGGUGUCAGUUUCCUUUCAACUGACAAAAAGGGGAAAUUGCACUGGCCUCCAACCAUAAGAUCAGUGGAGGAACUUUGACCCAGGUGUGUAAGAGGCUUUCGGCCCAGGUCUGUACUGGAAGGGUGGUGAUGCCUUUGUGCUGGAAACCUCAGCUUUGCUGUUUAUGGCUUCAAGAGGCAAAUGCACGUUGGAAGAUUCCUAACAUGGUGAUCACGUUUUCGGGAUGGUGGUGCUAGAAGUCCAGUGGAGUUAGGGCUAAGGUCCGUGUCUCCCACCCUUUUAUUUUUUAUCUUGAGACAUGGUCCUGCCAAAUCAGUAAGUUGCCAGGCUGGAUUCCAAGUUUUUGUGAUCCUCCUGUCUCAGCCUCAGAACUGGGAUUACAGGUGUAUGCCACCGUGGUGAGCUCGGACUGAGUCUUUGAAGCCCACCACCCUGAGGUGGGAAUCAGUAAUAUUUAAACUGUGUGUACUGUCUGCCAGGUGCUGUUGUAGGUGAUUUACCUUUAUUUUGAGACGGAGUCCUGUUGUGUUUGUUGCCCAGGCUGGCCUGGAAUUCUUGGGCUCAAGGAAUCCCCUUGUCUCAGCUUCCCAAGCAGCUGAUACUAUAGGCAUUCACUAUUACACCUGGCUAUACAUGUUUUACUUCUAAUAACAGUUUUAAAUUCUCCACUAUGGCUCUAUGAAAGAGGUGCCAUUACUACACCAUUUUAAGGGUGGAAAAAAGAAGGUUGUAGGAACGACAGGGAAAUGUGAAUCCACACAAUCCUGAUACAGUUUUCCUUAGCCAUCCUGAGGCCUUGUGGGCUUUUCUGAUAAUGGAUCAGGUGUUCACUGGGGGUUGGAGUCCCAGCUUCCAAAGGGACCUGGGAUUCCUGUGCCUUCACUUCCACUACUUCUUCCACAGGGUUUCCUGGAAAGUGCGGCAGUGGGGCUGCGGGUCAGAAAUCCUGCGGUCACAGCCCCCCAGGCUGCAGGCUCCGGCCCGGACGGGGCUCAGACACCUCCUGCAGACCUCUGGGGCCUUGGCAGCACCAUCGGAAGUCUCCCGGUACUGCGGCCGGUUCGGACCACCUCCUUCCCCAGGAGAGGAGCCGGGAUUGGGUACCACGAGUUUGUGGAAAACUGCGGACUCAAAGACUUCGUUGAUCAUUUGACGCACCCUUUCAAAAAGUGUUCUCCUGGGCAGUGCAACUCCGAUUUCGCGGAGCUGUGUACCCCUGCGGCCGCGGAGCCCAGGCCACUACCCCGGCUGGGAGCCGCGGCAGGACCCAGCAUUGCAGCAGAGAGGUGCUGGCCCUACUUUGGAGGGCUGGGCCAGGGCUCUCAGGAGGUAGGGCGGGACGCGGACGUGGUUUGGUAUGGACAAGAGGGGCCUGGAUCCAGGGAAGGGAAUAGAGGUGUGCCAAAGGGGUCGAAGAGGGCCAGUACUAGGGGGCUGGAAGGUAGGAACGGACAGGAGACUAUGGCCCCAAUGAAGGAUGGAAAGGUAGGGGUUGGGCUGAUGGGGAGGAAGCAGGGCGUGGCCUCCCAUUUACUCCCAGACCUCUUCCCAGACCUGUCCCUGACAAGACUUUCUGUCCCACGACAGCUGAAGAAACAACUGCAGGCGCCCAUGUCACCAGCGAGUUCGUCUCUCGUGGACAGCAUUUUGUCCUGCCCUUAG
Long non-coding RNA from Chinchilla lanigera (long-tailed chinchilla), 1745 nucleotides. The record is from Ensembl. NCBI's taxonomy places the organism in Eukaryota, Metazoa, Chordata, Mammalia, Rodentia, Chinchillidae.